This 71-nucleotide transfer RNA is filed under the name Aedes aegypti (yellow fever mosquito). It matches the Rfam family "tRNA". From Rfam's summary of the family: Transfer RNA (tRNA) molecules are approximately 80 nucleotides in length. Lineage: Eukaryota; Metazoa; Arthropoda; Insecta; Diptera; Culicidae. The record is from Rfam by way of RNAcentral.
GGCUCGGUAGCUUAUUGGUAAAGCGCUCGUCUAGCAUACAAGAGUGCUGGGUUCAAAUCCCAGCCGAGCAC